UACGUAGGGGGCAAGCGUUGUCCGGAUUUAUUGGGCGUAAAGAGCGUGUAGGCGGUUUGGUAGGUCCGCUGUGAAAACUCGAGCUCAACCUCGAGACGCCGGUGGAAACCAUCAGACUAGAGUCCGGAAGAGGAGAGUGGAAUUCCUGGUGUAGCGGUGAAAUGCGCAGAUAUCAGGAAGAACACCAAUGGCGAAGGCAGCUCGCUGGGACGUUACUGACACUGGAGGCGCGAAAGCGUGGGGAGCGAACAGG
This 253-nucleotide ribosomal RNA is filed under the name uncultured bacterium. RNAcentral describes it as "partial 16S ribosomal RNA". It matches the Rfam family "Bacterial small subunit ribosomal RNA", at positions 524 to 776 of the family's 1533-position model. The record is from RNAcentral.